UACGGAGGAUUCGAGCGUUAUCCGGAUUUAUUGGGUUUAAAGGGUGCGUAGGCGGUAACAUAAGUCAGUGGUGAAAGGCUGUGGCUCAACCAUAGGAUUGCCAUUGAAACUGUGUUACUUGAAUAUAGAUGAGGUAGGCGGAAUGUGUAGUGUAGCGGUGAAAUGCAUAGAUAUGACUCAGAACACCGAUUGCGAAGGCAGCUUACUAACAUGUAACUGACGCUGAGGGACGAAAGCGUGGGGAGCGAACAGG
Molecule: ribosomal RNA, 253 nt
Filed under: uncultured bacterium
Lineage: Bacteria
Description: partial 16S ribosomal RNA
Rfam family: Bacterial small subunit ribosomal RNA
Source: RNAcentral